RNAcentral lists this ribosomal RNA (484 nucleotides) under uncultured bacterium. Its description in RNAcentral is "partial 16S ribosomal RNA". It matches the Rfam family "Bacterial small subunit ribosomal RNA", at positions 30 to 507 of the family's 1533-position model. The record is from RNAcentral.
AUUGAACGCUGGCGGCAGGCCUAACACAUGCAAGUCGAGCGGAUGAAGGGAGCUUGCUCCUGGAUUCAGCGGCGGACGGGUGAGUAAUGCCUAGGAAUCUGCCUGGUCGUGGGGGAUAACGUCCGGAAACGGGCGCUAAUACCGCAUACGUCCUGAGGGAGAAAGUGGGGGAUCUUCGGACCUCACGCUAUCAGAUGAGCCUAGGUCGGAUUAGCUAGUUGGUGGGGUAAAGGCCUACCAAGGCGACGAUCCGUAACUGGUCUGAGAGGGUGAUCAGUCACACUGGGACUGAGAAACGGGCCCGACGCCCUCGGGGGGCAGCCGUAGGGAAUAUUUGGAAAUGGGGGAAAGCCCGACGCCGCCCAGCCCCGGGUGUGAGAAAGGGCUUCGGGUCUUAAAACCCUUUUAUGUUGGGAGAAAGGGCGUGUAAUUAAUUACGUACUUUUUUACGGUUCCCAAACAGAAAGCCACCGGUAACUCUCUG